CUUGAAAGGAAAAGUAACUCAUUUAAAACUAGCAUGAAAUCAAAUAGAGAAGGUUCAUAAGUGAAGCAACAGCUAAAGUAGGAAAAGUAACUCAUUUAAAACGAGCACGAAAUCAAAUAGAGAAGGUUCAUAAGUGAAGCAACAGCUAAAGUAUUUCAUUCAUUAACUAGAAAGAAAUUCACUUACCAAAAAUACAUGUUCAUAAAAUUGAUCCUAUCAUAAACAUACCCUGUGUAUCGCUUAAAGGACCAACAGAAGCAUCCACGAUUCUCAUGUAACAAAUAGAAGGAUUAAUCAGUUCUCAUAAAGAAAAGACCAAUUAAGUUUCCACUUUCAGCUGUCCUCACUAACCAUCCAAAAAAAAAAA
Molecule: non-coding RNA, 367 nt
Organism: Jatropha curcas
Lineage: Eukaryota; Viridiplantae; Streptophyta; Magnoliopsida; Malpighiales; Euphorbiaceae
Source: RefSeq, a predicted model, not a curated record